GUACACUCCUACGGGAGGCAGCAGUGGGGAAUCUUGCGCAAUGGGCGAAAGCCUGACGCAGCCAUGCCGCGUGAAUGAUGAAGGUCUUAGGAUUGUAAAAUUCUUUCACCGGGGACGAUAAUGACGGUACCCGGAGAAGAAGCCCCGGCUAACUUCGUGCCAGCAGCCGCGGUAAUACGAAGGGGGCUAGCGUUGCUCGGAAUUACUGGGCGUAAAGGGAGCGUAGGCGGACAUUUAAGUCAGGGGUGAAAUCCCGGGGCUCAACCUCGGAAUUGCCUUUGAUACUGGGUGUCUUGAGUAUGAGAGAGGUGUGUGGAACUCCGAGUGUAGAGGUGAAAUUCGUAGAUAUUCGGAAGAACACCAGUGGCGAAGGCGACACACUGGCUCAUUACUGACGCUGAGGCUCGAAAGCGUGGGGAGCAAACAGGAUUAGAUACCCCAGUAGUCCCAUG
Molecule: ribosomal RNA, 452 nt
Filed under: uncultured organism
Description: partial 16S ribosomal RNA
Rfam family: Bacterial small subunit ribosomal RNA
Source: RNAcentral